UUCAUAUCUUUGAAAAUUUUUGAAUUAUUACUCGAUUUCCGAUGAUUUGAUAUAAUUUUUUUGUUAAUUCAUUUUUUGAUUUUGCCUAAUUUGAUGCUUUUAUUCAUUUCUACAUCUUAAUCAUUUUGGUACUGAUUUUGCCAUUUUCCUUAGUCUAUGUUGAUGGAUCGGAUAUUCAAGUUUAUGUAACUUGUGUAUUCAUUCAUUGUGUUACACACGGUAAUCCUUUGUGCUUCUAUGAUUAACCUACAACUCAGCUUGGUGGUUCGAACGACUCAUCUGCGUUUUUUAAGGCCUCGACGACUAAAUUAUACAAGCUUGAAAAUGUGUUGCAGACACACACCAAGACAGUGACUUAUAUAUUCAAAAUCAAAAACUUCUAUCGGAACUUCAAAGAAAAAGAAAAGGAAAAAGUUAUUUAUUCAAGUAUCAAAUUGUAGCCGACACUCACCAACAAUGACGUUAGUCUAGAGGAAAAAAGGCUCGGCAGUAGCAUCAUGACUGAAUAACAGCAAAGCAGGCUUGCAACAUGUUCAAUGUAGUAACUUAUCAACUAUCGUGGAAGUAAACACAAACUUUCCAAAUGGCAGUUUUUAGUGGCAAACAGGCUAAAGUGCCCCGUCUCUUGUGAAAUGCAAACACUUCAGCAGCCAAUUUCAUUUUCAAGGUUUUUUCAGCCAUCAUUACAAAACUCACAAUCGAUGCAGGGGAGCCCGCAAAUCUCCAGGGAAAUUGAUUCUCAGUUGCACGCAUCAUUGCACUCAAAUCGAACAGUAGUAUUGUAGAGCAGCAGCAUGAUCAUAAGGUUUUCUUUAAUCAUGUUAUCACAUAAUUUGUUGUAUUUCUUAGAUGUUUAGACUUCAAUGUUGUUUGAUGUUGGGACCACUGAACUGGCAGCUGAUAAUUUUUUAGAUCUGUGUAGUUGAUUGUGUGGCUAUUGAAGUAAUAGACUACAAAUUAGAAAGGGAAGAUGGGGAGGAGUAUUCAUAUGGUAGUUGCAUGACCUUCAUGGCUGCUAUAUUAGUAUGUUUAAAAAAUUUGAUUAUUGUAUGUUUAACAACAGUCGUGCUCGACAAUGACAACAAUAGCCCAACAGCAAAGGCAGCAAAUACAGAUUGGUUGCAUUUAGCUUUAUUUAGACAAUGACAUCAAUGAAAGAAUACCACCACCAGGCAGCAGUCCAAUAGUGAUGACAGGAGCAUGAAGUGAAACAAUACAGAUUGGACUUCAUAUGUGAUCAUGGUGACUAGAAUUUAGUUGCAUUUACUACAGUCAAGCAUGCUACCUUAGCUUUAUUUGCAACUGAGUUAUAGUUAUGCAUGCUACCUUACGUGAAAUAAUACAUGUUUUCCUUAUUCAAACAUCUGUUUGUUUUGGUAACUUAGAUGUAGUCAAAUUUUUAUUGACAUAUCUGAAUGCUAAAUGCAAUGAAUGGUACUAAGCGUUGAAAUAUUUUUUAGUCCAACAUCGAAUAAUAGCCUAUGACUUCCCUUUCUUUUUGUCAACAAGCCACUUUUUUUAUACUUUUUUUUUAUUAUUGAUGUUAAUGUACUGUUUAAUUUGGUACUCUUAUACAUUUGGUCACUGAUCAACUGUGGAUAUUGGUAUUGAAAGCAUUAAUUUAUAAAUGUUCCAUUCAAUUAAAGUUAUAUUUAUAUUUAUAUUU
Amaranthus tricolor (Joseph's coat) is the source of this 1666-nucleotide long non-coding RNA. RefSeq lists it as uncharacterized. The record is from RefSeq and is a predicted model, not a curated record. The transcript has 4 exons. NCBI's taxonomy places the organism in Eukaryota, Viridiplantae, Streptophyta, Magnoliopsida, Caryophyllales, Amaranthaceae.